GUCCUGCAGGCCGGCCACACCUGGGAUGCCCACGCUUCCCUGACACUGGGCAGACAUCCCGUGCGGCGAGCCAGCCCUUUCAGCCCUCUUGGUUUCCCGAGCUCUGUGGUGUCUUAAGACACGGUGUUCGCAAUCACCCGUUUCCCCCGCGUUCUUGAGGCAGGAGCAGUGUCUGGUUUCUACCUACUUCUGCCUUCCUUGGAGGAGACGUCGGAUGGGAUCCUGACAGGAGCGAGACAGGCAUCCUAGACACGAGGACCAUCGUGGGUGGGGUUCCAGGGGACCCUUGUUGGAGUCCUUUACGGCAAAAACGGGAGCAUGGCCAGAUGUGUGAAAAGUUGCGGACACCAGUAAGAGUUGACUUAACUGGCUUUGGAGGGGACCCAAGCAUCAAGGUUUGCUCUCUGGGUUAUUCUAAUGUGUAACGAGGUCUGUAGGCAGUGGGUAGUUCCUCCACGGUUUUGAGCAGACGUCUGAGCCGAUCUGAUCUGUGCUUAAGACUCCGCCGGCUGCCGAGGGCAGAGUGAACUGGAGCUGGGGUCCUGGGUUCCCGGGGAUCCCAACCGACGGGAGUGGUUGCAGGGGAGUUUCUGAGCCUGACCACCACCAGGUCUUGUCACUAGCUGGGCAGUUAGUGAGAAGGAGGGCUCCAAACUGGCCCCUGGAAGAAGACCCACGAACCAGGAAGAGGGGACAGGGGCACAUGGGGAAGAGACACAGAGUCCCUGGGGGCCUGUCGGUCUGAGCUGCCUGGGCACGUGGGAGAGCCGGCCAGUGGGGGGGAGAGCAGGGCUGGUGUGCUGGGUUCCUGGGGAUGCCAGGGCAGCACAGAAGCCACCAAGUGAGGGGAGCGUCUCUCCUGUGGGCAGGGUGGCCACAGUGUUUUAGGCAGGGAACCCAGGCGCCCAGCAGCCAGCGGCCGGUGGUGUCUGAGGCUGACAAGGAAACGUGAGGCCAGGGCUGGUGGUGCCCCGGGGGGCGGGGGAAUGGUUUGUGUUGGAGGGUCCCAGCAGGGACCGGGAGCACAGGCAGGAGCGAGGCUUGCCAAGGAGCGAAGCCAUGUUUGUGCAGAAGAGGCGGAGGGGCGCACGCAGUGCUUAUUUACCCAGUGGUAGCUCAGAAUCGCGUCCGUUGACUCCUCUGUUCUCUCCCCUUCCCUGCGCCUGCUUAAAAACUGUAAAUUCACCGAACCUGCGUGUGGUCCUGAAUCGAACCCAGCAGUGGACCUGGCGCCGGCAGCAUUAGCCGUGUUGUCAGGGCGACCCGUCCCACCCGGUCCGUUCCCGCGGUUCUGCGCUCGUCUCGCUCCUUCCUGCGGAGUUUGCUUACGCGCGUGUACGAAGCCACAAGCGUGCCAUGUAACGCUUGCUUUGGAAGUUGUAGUAAUGCGUCACACACGCGGGCUUCUGGUCUGGGAGUGGUUCUCACUCGUCACUGUGCAGAGCUGCCCCACGGCGCUCUGUGUGGUCCCUGCGCGUGACCUGUCCGCAGUAGCUGGCGCGGGAGUGCGAGACGGCGUCGUUACCAUCGUCUUGUACGCGGCCAGCGAGGUGGUUUGGGUUCUUAGGAAAAGGGCUGGUUCCCUGGUGCCCUGCGCUGGAGCCCGAGGGUAGCGCCGCAGGAUCCCAGGACGCAGAGCUGGGGGCAGCCUCGUUCCCACGCGGCGGUCAGCUCGCGUCCCCACUGCGCUCUGGCGGCCCCGAGCCUCGUGUCCUGGUCUCUGGGGGUCUGCGUGAAGGUGUGUGCGGCAGCCCCGGCUGUGGUCUCAACCUGCAUCCUUCGCGGAGCCCCUCGGGUCACGCUGUGUCCCUGUUUCCCUGCUGGCGUGCCUGCUCCUCUCAGAAGCGCCCGCGUGGCGCCCGUCCGUCCCCACUGGGCCGUGACCUUCCGAUGGGUGCUACUGCCUCGGCCUCGGAGUGCCCGUGCUGGUGUGUUACCCACGUCCUCGCUUACGUUUGGCCGUGUUCUUGUCAUCUUUACGAAACCGUAGAUGAACGGAGUUCUUCGUUUUAGGAAAGCCUUGCCUAACCCGGGAUGAUAACAACCGCUUCCUUUUUACUUGCGGAAGUCGGUAAAACUGCCUUCCAUGGCCAAGUGAUCGUAGUAAGAGAUGGAGGUUUCAUAUGGGGUGUGAGGUGGUGAUCGGAUUUCCUUCCCGUGGGGAUAGGCCGUUGUCCCGGCCCCAGUGUGGAAAAGCGUGUCCCGUUUCUGCGGACCUGCGGCGCAUCCCUGGGGUGCGGCAAGUGCCUGUAAAGGCAUGAGCCUCUUGUGGACUUUGUCCUGCUUUGUUCUUGGACUCUGAACUGCCGUAGCUUCACAGGAAGUCAUGACCUCUGGGAAGUUCCUUUGCGUGGGUUGUGGCUAUUCUUGGCCUUUGCUUUCUCCUAAGUUCUAUAAUUAGUGCGUCAGUUUUAUUGAUAAAACCUGUUAGAGUUUUGAUCCGAACUGUACGGAGACUAGAGAUCAGCUUGGGAGGGACAUCGCUGUGACUUGGAUUGUGCCAUCCGUAAGCCUGUGUCGGCCUACUUACGUAGGCUCGCUCUGAGGUCUUCCAACGGGAUUGCGUGGUUUUCUCCAUAUAGGACGUGCACAUUUUUUGUUAGAUCUAUUCCUAGUUUAUUUUCUUGCUGGUACUUUGGUUGAUACUUAAAAAAACCAACAAACCCGACUUCUUCUAGUUGAUUGUUGCUGGCAUAGAAAAGUGCCGUAGAUUGUUGUGAUCUGACGUUAUACCUGGUAAUCUUUCCAAAUUCUUUUCUAUUUAAUUCAUUAAUUUUGGCUUAUUUUCUUUUCAAGGAAAACUACAAUAACAGACAAGUCUUACCGAGCAUCAUUUUUGCCUCCUUUCAGGGUUUUGAGAUGUGAUCUUCUUGUGGCCAAUCACGCAGUUGCGCUUCUGUGUUCUGCUCUCACUUGGCGAAUCAGUUAGAGUCGAUCGUAAAAUGUCCACACGUGGGAGUGAGUCUUUCUCCAUCCUUCUGUGGUGGAUUUCCAGAUGAAUUGCGUCAUCGUCAGACGGCAUAAUCUGAAUGAUGCUACUUUUUUGAAAUGUAAUGCGGUCAGAAUAAUUGUGCGCUUCAGAAGAAUGAGUAUUUUUUCCUUAUUUGAUUCAGGUUCUGCAUCUACCCGGUACGUCAGCCCUCCUGAACGCGUUGUUCAGCUCUUGCAGGUUUACACCGUUUUCUGUUGGAGCAGCAGCGUCUGCGAGAGCCACGUUGAGAUCUUGUCUGCGGCCGCGGAUUCGCCCACUCUCCCUGUCGUCUUACUGCGCGCUUGUGUAACGUGUGUGCUUGUGCGCGUGUCUGCGUUUGGGGGGAGAGGCUGCUGUGAAAGGAGCACACACGUAGUACUUUUAUGUCCUUGGGUAACUGAGCCUUCUUCGUUGCGUGGAGCCCUCUGUACCCUGGACAAUGCUUGGCUCUUCUAGUGUCUCUGCUUUGAAGUAACAUGACCAGCAUAACUUCCUUUGUUCCUGAGAUUUGGGUUCUUUCUUUGUCAGAGAGAGAGUGAGCGCACGCGCAGGGGGAGGGGCAGCGGGAGAAGCAGGCCCCCUGCUGAGCAGCGAGCCCGAUGCGACGCGGGGUUCGAUGCGAUGCGGGGUUCGGUGCCGGGACCCCGGGACCAUGACCUGAGCCGAAGGCAGACGCUCCACCGACUGAGCCACCAGGCGCCCGUCGUGACUUUAUGUUCAAGCACGUUUGCCGGUGCACUCUGCAUUUUUACUUGUAACGUUUGUUCACCUUAAGUGUAGACAUUCGUGCUGUGAACCCACAAAGCUGGUCCGUCUUUCAGCCGCGGAGUCCAGUGUGUUCCUGUCGAAUCUCAGGUCCCAGGGUGCCUGGGGGCUCAGUCAUCCAGCCUCUGCCUUCGGCUCAGGUCAUGAUCUCAGGGUCCUGGGACCGAGCCCCGCGUCGGGCUCCCGGCCUCCCCCGCUCCCUCUCCCACUCCCCCUGCUGGUGUUCCCUCUCUCGCUGUCUCUGUCUGUCAAAUAAAUAAGAAUCUCCUGUUGCUGCGGGUUCUCCUUUCUCAUCUCUUCCCUUUCGGUGAUGCGUGACAUCUGCUUUUCUGUUUAUUCACUUUUCACUCUACUUUUAUCCUUUUGGUGAUCGCCACUGAAAUUUUACUUUGUAUUAUAUUCCUACCUUAAUAAACGUAAAGUUGAUAUUCCAGUUCCUUUGCGAACAAUACAUAGAUCUUAAAGUACCGUACCCACCUCUGCUCUUCUCUGGACUUCCGUGCGGAAAUUGUGCAGAAUUUUAGUUCUGCAUCUUAGGUCCCCAAAUUACGUACUCUUGUUACUCUGUAGGCAAUGUUUGUUUUUAUGUGAUGUAUAUUGACCACUGUAUCUGGUCAGCAUUUUCCUCACAUUUCAUGUCUUCCUUUUUUUAAGCGAUGAAUAGCUUGCUAGGAAAAAGAAAGAUUCAAAUGGAGAGGAAACUUCCUGUUGAAGUGAGGGAUCUCGCACACACGUCUGGCGCAUUCCAACGGGUCGCCCCCUCGUGCCCCGUGCACUUCUCCGCGCCGUGCGUGUGCGCACCUCCCCGUCUGCUUACGGAAUUGGUGCCGGCCUUCUCGGGUUCUGCUGGAGGGAAACCCUCGGCUUCUGUUCACCCGAGAGUGCUUUAUUUGGCGCUUACCGUGGGCAGCCGGCGCCGGUGCUGUGCAGCCAGAGGAAGACGUGCUCUUUCCUGAGGACACAUUUCCCGUUGGAUUCUCGUUUCUGUGUUCUGUUGCGGAAGGUCCGUUGGUCUGACCGGGGCUGACCCGUCUCCUCUUUGUCUUCGGUGUUCUGCAGUUUUGUCUCAGUUCUGGCGACACUGCGUUGUGUUCCGUGUGCGUAAGUUCCCGGGCGUCGUCCGCUCGCGGAGUUCACUGCGUUUUCCCUCUCGAACUCUCCCCGCUGCGGGGCCUCCCGUUCGCGGACCACCCUGCGGCCGCGUGCAGUCUGCCGUCUAACGCGUCUUUCGAGGCUUCAAAAAUACUAGUUCUAUUUGGAUAGUUUUCAAAUUUGCCUGUUCGUUGAUAGCCUGUUUUUACUUGCUCAUUUAUUCUUUUUUCCUUAACAGUUCACAGCUCAUUUUUAAGAUUCGGCAUCCGACAUGUAAGGCCUCGGUGUCACUGUGGGCUCCGUCUGUGUGGCCGUCGCUGUUGCGGACUCUUGCUCUCACAGAAUGUCAGAUCAAAGAAUCCUGGGGAAAGCGUGUUGAACAGGAGCCAUGGGUGUGGUUCGAGACACACGGACAGCUUCAGUCUCCGUCGUGCAGACCGCCGCUCCCUGCCUCCUGCUGCCGCAGCUUCCUGCAGGUCCUUCCUGCCCUUGGGGGGCACAGCGAAGUGGGGGUUUGUAUCGUCACCACGAAUGCCAGAACUCUCCGUCCCGAGAAAGGAGCGGUGUGGGGGUGGGGAGGCGGGGGGGCCUCACCUCACUGGCUUCCCCGUGUACCGUCGGGGACGGCGCUCCACCAGCGGGCUCUCCCGAGUACCCAACAGUAACGUCAGUAAAUGCUUUAGGUAACGGAGCGCACAAGUGGCACGGGCGGCCCACAGCGUGGGGCCUCGACACCCGAGGUCGGGGUGGCGCCGGAUUGCAGGAGGGCUGCGUCCCGGUCCCUCGACCACCGUGAGGACGGGAACGUGCAUCUUCUCUCCUAUGGUUUGGGAGUCUCCAACCUGCUCGUCCACGGGGGUCGUUCCAGCGCCAGAGCCCUUCUCCCAGGCCUCUGAAGCAAGAGGCCUGUGAUGGACGCCCUGCGGUCGGGUCGUGCGGGGGAACUUCCUCCCGCUGCUAAUGCAAUCAGGAAGCCGGCCCUUGAUAGAAUUAGAGGCCCAGGGUGCGGGCGCGGGGGGACGAGCCUCUCCCCCUGCGUGCACUGGGAAGGAGGGGCAGGUAGCAGUUGGUGGGAUUUAGCCAGUCAUUGUGAAACCUGGAAAUCAGGUUUUGGAAAAUAAAUUGGAAUAGAUGA
Mustela lutreola (European mink) is the source of this 5963-nucleotide long non-coding RNA. RefSeq lists it as uncharacterized. NCBI's taxonomy places the organism in Eukaryota, Metazoa, Chordata, Mammalia, Carnivora, Mustelidae. The transcript has 2 exons. The record is from RefSeq and is a predicted model, not a curated record.